UUUCAAUCCCACCACACGGAUAUUACUGCGUCUGCUCUGGUUCUCCAUCUGGUCUACUUUGUUUUUGAGGCCAUUGUAGACACAGGCAAGAUAAUGAAGACUCUCCUUAAACAGGUGGAGGCCUUUAGGCCCAAGAGGAUCAAAGCAGCAGGCCCCUCGCAGAACCGUUGGAAGUAGAACUGGCAGCCGUUGGCGGUAGAACUGGACAGGCAGGGCAGCAUUGUGAAAGUCCCUUGGCCAGGAUGACCUCCUUGACAAAAGCCACCAAUCCCAGGAACAGGUGGUCCCUUCUGUUGGGAAGGAAUGAAAGGGACAUUUGUCUGGGCCCUGAGAAAAACAGCACUUUUAAGUCCCUCCUUUCAGGUUUGUGUGUGAGUCCAAGUGUGUGAGUAUGAGCGUGUGUAAAAUUGAACAAAUUAUAACACAGACCAUGUCAUUUUAAUUCUCCCCCAAACAUAUCUAAGUAUUAAAGGUUAAACUAGCACCUACAUCAAAGUACUCUGAAAAAGCAAAAUUGUAGAACCUACAUGCUGUAAUUCCAGUAUAGUUCAGUCGGAGACCCCAACCAAAGAGGGUAAUAAUGAUUGUAUUGGAUGGUGGGAACUGUGCAUGCCUCUCUCUCAUACAGUGGGAAUACACAUUCCACAGCCACUACCAUCCACAUGCCAAUCCCUUCUCGACCCCACUGAACCAGCCACCACGUGACUAUUGUAAUCUGGCCAAGCAGUUGUAUAUGUAUGAGUGUUUGUAUAGGUGUUUGUGUGACAUACAUUUUUUGUAUUGGUCCCCCG
Molecule: long non-coding RNA, 791 nt
Filed under: Salmo salar (Atlantic salmon)
Lineage: Eukaryota; Metazoa; Chordata; Actinopteri; Salmoniformes; Salmonidae
Description: lncRNA (ENSSSAG00000119351.1)
Source: RNAcentral